Molecule: transfer RNA, 77 nt
Filed under: Endothiovibrio diazotrophicus
Lineage: Bacteria; Pseudomonadati; Pseudomonadota; Gammaproteobacteria; Chromatiales; Thioalkalispiraceae
Also listed under: 6 other names
Description: tRNA-Arg
Rfam family: tRNA
About the family: Transfer RNA (tRNA) molecules are approximately 80 nucleotides in length.
Source: RNAcentral
GCGCCCGUAGCUCAGCUGGAUAGAGCGUCGCCCUCCGGAGGCGAAGGUCAGAGGUUCGAAUCCUCUCGGGCGCGCCA